GAUGAACGCUGGCGGCGUGCCUAAUACAUGCAAGUCGAGCGAACGGACGAGAAGCUUGCUUCUCUGAUGUUAGCGGUGGACGGGUGAGUAACACGUGGAUAACCUACCUAUAAGACUGGGAUAACUUCGGGAAACCGUAGCUAAUACCGGAUAAUAUUUUGAACCGCAUGGUUCAAAAGUGAAAGACGGUCUUGCUGUCACUUAUAGAUGGAUCCGCGCUGCAUUAGCUAGUUGGUAAGGUAACGGCUUACCAAGGCAACGAUGCAUAGCCGACCUGAGAGGGGGAUCGGCCACACUGGAACUGAGACACGGUCCAGACUCCUACGGGAGGCAGCAGUAGGGAAUCUUCCGCAAUGGGCGAAAGCCUGACGGAGCAACGCCGCGUGAGUGAUGAAGGUCUUCGGAUCGUAAAACUCUGUUAUUAGGGAAGAACAUAUGUGUAAGUAACUGUGCACAUCUUGACGGUACCUAAUCAGAAAGCCACGGCUAACUACGUG
Molecule: ribosomal RNA, 497 nt
Filed under: uncultured bacterium
Lineage: Bacteria
Description: partial 16S ribosomal RNA
Rfam family: Bacterial small subunit ribosomal RNA
Source: RNAcentral